GGCCAGAAGCGGCUGUAAAAUGCAAAGUCAAAAUACAAAAGAGGGUCACUUUUUUAACCAUUCUAUUGGACUCAUCAAAGUGUGGGAACGAUCAUGCUCUCUAGUUUUUCGGAUCCAUAGGAUCUUCAUAAACUCCAAUGGGUAGGUAAGCUAACGGUUCUUCAUUUUUUUCAUCAUCUAGAGGGGGCAUAGAAAGAGUGAGUUCCAUAUGUUUAGUAAGAAAAAUAGUAUUUAAAUAACAUUGUAAUGUUUUAAAGGUGAAUUAUUC
RNAcentral lists this long non-coding RNA (268 nucleotides) under Carica papaya (papaya). RNAcentral describes it as "long non-coding RNA (CPAP_LNC014855)". Lineage: Eukaryota; Viridiplantae; Streptophyta; Magnoliopsida; Brassicales; Caricaceae. The record is from RNAcentral.